This 82-nucleotide microRNA precursor is filed under the name Gasterosteus aculeatus (three-spined stickleback). Its description in RNAcentral is "mir-221 microRNA precursor family". It matches the Rfam family "mir-221 microRNA precursor family". The record is from Rfam by way of RNAcentral. Lineage: Eukaryota; Metazoa; Chordata; Actinopteri; Perciformes; Gasterosteidae.
CCCCGCGGGUGCUCAGUAGUCAGUGUAGAUCCUGUGCGGCUGGCAGCAGCUACAUCUGGCUACUGGGUCUCUGCCGGCAGGC